RNAcentral lists this ribosomal RNA (497 nucleotides) under uncultured bacterium. RNAcentral describes it as "partial 16S ribosomal RNA". It matches the Rfam family "Bacterial small subunit ribosomal RNA", at positions 28 to 507 of the family's 1533-position model. The record is from RNAcentral.
GACGAACGCUGGCGGCGUGCCUAAUACAUGCAAGUUGAGCGAUGAAGAUUGGUGCUUGCACCAAUUUGAAGAGCAGCGAACGGGUGAGUAACGCGUGGGGAAUCUGCCUUUGAGCGGGGGACAACAUUUGGAAACGAAUGCUAAUACCGCAUAACAACUUUAAACAUAAGUUUUAAGUUUGAAAGAUGCAAUUGCAUCACUCAAAGAUGAUCCCGCGUUGUAUUAGCUAGUUGGUGAGGUAAAGGCUCACCAAGGCGAUGAUACAUAGCCGACCUGAGAGGGUGAUCGGCCACAAUGGGACUGAGACACCGCCCAAACUCCUGCGGGAGGGAGCAGUAGGGAAUCUUCGGAAAUGGACGAAAGUCUGACCGAGCAACGCCGCGUGAGUGAAGAAGGUUUUCGGGUCGUAAAACUCUGUUGGUAGAGAAGAACGUUGGUGAGAGUGGAAAGCUCAUCAAGUGACGGUAACUACCCAGAAAGGGACGGCUAACUACGUG